RNAcentral lists this long non-coding RNA (1591 nucleotides) under Marmota monax (woodchuck). The record is from RNAcentral. Lineage: Eukaryota; Metazoa; Chordata; Mammalia; Rodentia; Sciuridae.
AUCUCAUAUAAUAUAUGUCAAGGUUAGGACGAUCCUGUUUUAAGAAGUAAUUUUAAUGCCUUCAAAAACUAGGAAGAAACCUUUUAUAGAAACUCUUCAAUUAAUUAACUAAAGUUAAAAUUCACUAUUUUCAACAUUCCCACAUACGUAGACACACAUACACACACACAAUAAACAGCAGUCAAUAAAGCAACAUAAUAUUUGAAGACUCAAGCAUUAGUAAACAGUCAAUCUAUCAAAACAAAAAGAAAAAAAACUUAAUUUAUGCAGCUCUUAAAUAUUCAUGUUUAGGCCAGAGCUGCAACUACUAAAGCCAGAAUUCAUAACUUUGAAAAGGCAAUCAUUGGAUCAGCUGGCAGUUUUGUCCACACAACUGCAUAAACAAUUUGUCUACUUUCCAUUAAAUACACCAGAUGCUUUGUUGUCAUGUAAACACAAUCUAAAUGAAAUCCACAGAUUUUCCCCCCCAAACUUCAUUUUAGAGAAAUGGUUCUUGGCUGAUCUUAUUCUAGGUCUGCUAACAAUUUAACCAGGAUUAUUUGAUUGGUUUUCAACUCUUUUGCCAUCUCUCGUCGUCCAUCCUUUAUUGGGCAAGCAAAUGCUGGAGAAAAUGAUGUAAAGGCAAGCAAAUAAACAUGGAAAGAAAGGUCUCUGGGAAGCCAGACAUUCCUCAGAGUUGUCAGGCCUUUCUCAGGAAGGGAGUGGUUAGAAGGGCACGGGAGGUUAAUGUCCAAACUGCUUCCUGAUUUGAAAUGCCCCUCUCUCUGGAGCUCAAGAAUGAGAAUCUCUUCCCCUCAACAAAAUGGCCUGUCUGUGGACACUUCCACUUCCAAGGUUCUUGCAGGCUCCAGGUAAGUAACAGGUAACAAUAUACCAUUUUCCCAUUGACUAAAAAAAUGUUAUACAAGGAAUUAAUUAGUCUCUAUCAGUUUUCAUAAAUAACACACCUUCCUGCUCAUGAAGGUCACAUGGUGUUCCAGUGCUUUUUGUGUUGUCUGAUGGAUGGGAAAUGAGAGAAACAACAUUGGCAGCAACAGUCACAACAAAGAGGGGCUCACAAUGUGAAGGAAUCAAAUGCUUCAUGUCCAUUUUAUUGUGGUUUAUGUUUUCCUGACCCAGUUCACUUUUUGAUGCUCAGUCAGAAGUAAAGCAUAACUCAGGCAUUCUCAAUCACCUACCCAAUAUAAGAGUCAGUAUGAUUCGUUUAUAGUUUUGCUUCUCUCAGUCUAAAAGUUGGGAACAAACUGAGAAAUAUCAGACCCUAUUAAAAAUACUUAUGCACAGACCCUUUUGGCAUUAUUGAAGCCGUUCAGGAAAAGGAGUCACUAGGCCUAUCACUGGCCAUCGCAUGAUGACAUCUCAGUUACUAAAGCAAGAUACAAUUAAAAGCAGUUUUGAAUAGUUUCAUGUGUGAAGAGUGAGAGGAAGGGUAGGCAGAUGUAAUUGUUUGGACAUGAUCUUUAAUUUUUUUGGAUAUGAUCUUUAGUUGUCUACAGGCAGGCUAGAUGCUAUUUCGUAUCUCUCUGAGCAUCAGGGACCUGCCGUGGUGAUGCAUACUGAAGUUUGAGCUGCCAUCACGUUUUCUGUUACG